GGCGCGGUACGCAAACCGGCAGAGCGGCCAAGCUCAAACCUUGGUGUGUGCGGGUUCGAAUCCCGCCUGCGCCA
Molecule: transfer RNA, 74 nt
Filed under: Planctomycetota bacterium
Lineage: Bacteria; Pseudomonadati; Planctomycetota
Description: Planctomycetes bacterium (freshwater metagenome) tRNA-Leu
Rfam family: tRNA
About the family: Transfer RNA (tRNA) molecules are approximately 80 nucleotides in length. Their secondary structure includes four short double-helical elements and three loops (D, anti-codon, and T loops).
Source: RNAcentral